Molecule: ribosomal RNA, 240 nt
Filed under: uncultured Lactobacillus sp.
Lineage: Bacteria; Bacillati; Bacillota; Bacilli; Lactobacillales; Lactobacillaceae
Description: partial 16S ribosomal RNA
Rfam family: Bacterial small subunit ribosomal RNA
Source: RNAcentral
UAACCUGCCCAAGAGAUCGGGAUAACACCUGGAAACAGAUGCUAAUACCGGAUAACAAUAGAUGAUGCCUAUCAACUGUUUAAAAGAUGGUUCUGCUAUCACUCUUGGAUGGACCUGCGGUGCAUUAGCUAGUUGGUAGGGUAACGGCCUACCAAGGCGAUGAUGCAUAGCCGAGUUGAGAGACUGAUCGGCCACAUUGGGACUGAGACACGGCCCAAACUCCUACGGGAGGCAGCAGGU